This 253-nucleotide ribosomal RNA is filed under the name uncultured bacterium. Its description in RNAcentral is "partial 16S ribosomal RNA". It matches the Rfam family "Bacterial small subunit ribosomal RNA", at positions 524 to 776 of the family's 1533-position model. The record is from RNAcentral.
GACAGAGGGUGCAAACGUUGUUCGGAAUUACUGGGCGUAAAGCGCGUGUAGGCGGCUAAGUAAGUCGGGCGUGAAAUCCCACGGCUCAACCGUGGAAGUGCACUCGAAACUGCAUAGCUAGAGUCCUGGAGAGGAAGGUGGAAUGCUUGGUGUAGAGGUGAAAUUCGUAGAUAUCAAGCGGAACACCGGUGGCGAAGGCGGCUUGCUAGGCCAGUUCUGACGCUGAGGAGCGAAAGCGUGGGGAGCGAACAGG